GCUCGCGUAGCUCAGCUGGAUAGAGUGCUUCCCUCCGAAGGAAGAGGUCGCAGGUUCGAACCCCGCCGCGAGUACCA
This 77-nucleotide transfer RNA is filed under the name Acidobacteriota bacterium. Its description in RNAcentral is "Acidobacteria bacterium (activated sludge metagenome) tRNA-Arg". It matches the Rfam family "tRNA". Rfam says of the family: Transfer RNA (tRNA) molecules are approximately 80 nucleotides in length. Their secondary structure includes four short double-helical elements and three loops (D, anti-codon, and T loops). RNAcentral also lists the same sequence under 4 other names. Lineage: Bacteria; Pseudomonadati; Acidobacteriota. The record is from RNAcentral.